UUACACAUGCAAGUCGAACGGCAGCACAGGAGAGCUUGCUCUCUGGGUGGCGAGUGGCGGACGGGUGAGGAAUACAUCGGAAUCUACUCUGUCGUGGGGGAUAACGUAGGGAAACUUACGCUAAUACCGCAUACGACCUACGGGUGAAAGCAGGGGAUCUUCGGACCUUGCGCUAAAUGAUGAGCCUAAGUCGGAUUAGCUAGUUGGUGGGGUAAAGGCCUACCAAGGCGACGAUCUGUAGCGGGUCUGAGAGGAUGAUCCGCCACACUGGGACUGAGACACGGCCCAGACUCCUACGGGAGGCAGCAGUGGGGAAUCUUAGACAAUGGGCGCAAGCCUGAUCUAGCCAUGCCGCGUGUGUGAUGAAGGUCUUAGGAUCGUAAAGCACUUUCGCCAGGGAUGAUAAUGACAGUACCUGGUAAAGAAACCCCGGCUAACUCCGUGCCAGCAGCCGCGGUAAUACGGAGGGGGUUAGCGUUGUUCGGAAUUACUGG
This 494-nucleotide ribosomal RNA is filed under the name Prymnesium parvum. Its description in RNAcentral is "partial Bacterial small subunit ribosomal RNA". It matches the Rfam family "Bacterial small subunit ribosomal RNA", at positions 49 to 557 of the family's 1533-position model. The record is from RNAcentral. Lineage: Eukaryota; Haptophyta; Prymnesiales; Prymnesiaceae.